GAAGUCGGAAUCCGCUAAGGAGUGUGUAACAACUCACCUGCCGAAUGAAUUAGCCCUGAAAAUGGAUGGCGCUCAAGCGGGCAGCCGACACCACACCGUUUGUUUUAAUAAAAACAGAUGAGUAGGAGGGCGUGGAGGCCGUGUCGAAGCACGCGUGCAAACGCUUGUGGAACGGCCUCUAGUGCAGAUCUUGGUGGUAGUAGCAAAUAUUCAAGCGAGAUCCUUGAAGGGCGAAGCGGGGAAGGGUUCCACGCGAACAUUGAUUGGGCGUGGGUGAGUCGUUCCUAAGCCGAGUGGCCAUUGCUAAUUAUAGGCGAAAGGGAAGCGGGUUGAAAUUCCCGCACACGGAUGUGGAGGCGGUGACGCGCAUUGAGGCGAAAACAUCGGCGAUGGCGCUGGGCAGAGAUGUCUUUUCUGUUUAAUCAUUUAUCAUGCUGUGUGGAAUCCGCUUGUCGGGAGAAACACGCGUGAAAGGUAAGAGCGCCGGGGCUUUUCCGGCGUCCAGCUCGCCAACGACGGUCCUUGAAAAUUUGCCUAAUGAAUUAAGAUCCACGCCGUGGCGUACCGAUAACCGCAUCAGGUCCCCAAGGUGAACAGCCUCUGUCCAAUAUGAAAAAUGUAGGUAAGGGAAGUCGGCAAAUUGGACCCGUAACUUUGGGAAAAGGGUUGGCUCUAGUGCUGCGUGGGAAUAGUUGCCUUGUGUUUUGCUUGUGUGGCCCAGCUAUAUGGACUGUCCGCAAGGAUGGACCUGCGCGAGGUACCUUGUGAACGCAGGGCGACGCCCACAGCAUGCAGCGAACUAGAACUGCAACGGGCAAAGGGAAUCCGACUGUUUAAUUAAAACAAAGCAUUGCGAGGGCCGUGGCCGGUGUUGACGCAAUGUGA
RNAcentral lists this ribosomal RNA (885 nucleotides) under Neogastroclonium subarticulatum. RNAcentral describes it as "partial large subunit ribosomal RNA". It matches the Rfam family "Eukaryotic large subunit ribosomal RNA", at positions 1257 to 2194 of the family's 3401-position model. Lineage: Eukaryota; Rhodophyta; Florideophyceae; Rhodymeniales; Champiaceae. The record is from RNAcentral.